AGUGAACGCUGGCGGUAGGCCUAACACAUGCAAGUCGAACGGCAGCACAUUAAGAGCUUGCUCUUACGGGUGGCGAGUGGCGGACGGGUGAGGAAUACAUCGGAAUCUACUUUUUCGUGGGGGAUAACGUAGGGAAACUUACGCUAAUACCGCAUACGACCUACGGGUGAAAGCAAGGGAUCUUCGGACCUUGCGCGAUUGAAUGAGCCGAUGUCGGAUUAGCUAGUUGGCGGGGUAAAGGCCCACCAAGGCGACGAUCCGUAGCUGGUCUGAGAGGAUGAUCAGCCACACUGGAACUGAGACACGGUCCAGACUCCUACGGGAGGCAGCAGUGGGGAAUAUUGGACAAUGGGCGCAAGCCUGAUCCAGCCAUACCGCGUGGGUGAAGAAGGCCUUCGGGUUGUAAAGCCCUUUUGUUGGGAAAGAAAAGCAGCAGGUUAAUACCCCGCUGUUCUGACGGUACCCAAAGAAUAAGCACCGGCUAACUUCGUG
RNAcentral lists this ribosomal RNA (492 nucleotides) under uncultured bacterium. Its description in RNAcentral is "partial 16S ribosomal RNA". It matches the Rfam family "Bacterial small subunit ribosomal RNA", at positions 29 to 507 of the family's 1533-position model. The record is from RNAcentral.